RNAcentral lists this ribosomal RNA (403 nucleotides) under Verrucomicrobiota bacterium. Its description in RNAcentral is "Verrucomicrobia bacterium partial 16S ribosomal RNA". It matches the Rfam family "Bacterial small subunit ribosomal RNA", at positions 355 to 776 of the family's 1533-position model. Lineage: Bacteria; Pseudomonadati; Verrucomicrobiota. The record is from RNAcentral.
UGGGGAAUAUUGCACAAUGGGGGAAACCCUGAUGCAGCGACGCCGCGUGAGCGAAGAAGGCUUUCGAGUCGUAAAGCUCUGUCCUAGGAGAAGAUAAUGACGGUAUCAUAGGAGGAAGCACUGGCUAAAUACGUGCCAGCAGCCGCGGUAAUAAGUAUGGGGCGAGCGUUGUCCGGAAUUAUUGGGCGUAAAGGGUACGUAGGUGGUUUUUUAAGUCAGGUGUCAAAGCGUGGAGCUUAACUCCAUUAAGCACUUGAAACUGAAAGACUUGAGUGAAGGAGAGGAAAGUGGAAUUCCUAGUGUAGCGAUGAAAUGCGUAGAUAUUAGGAGGAAUACCGGUGGCGAAGGCGACUUUCUGGACUUUUACUGACGCUGAGGAACGAAAGCGUGGGUAGCAAACAGG